RNAcentral lists this ribosomal RNA (253 nucleotides) under uncultured bacterium. Its description in RNAcentral is "partial 16S ribosomal RNA". It matches the Rfam family "Bacterial small subunit ribosomal RNA", at positions 524 to 776 of the family's 1533-position model. The record is from RNAcentral.
UACGGAGGGGGCUAGCGUUGUUCGGAAUUACUGGGCGUAAAGCGCGCGUAGGCGGCUUUGUAAGUUAGAGGUGAAAGCCCGGAGCUCAACUCCGGAACUGCCUUUAAGACUGCAUCGCUAGAACGUCGGAGAGGUAAGUGGAAUUCCGAGUGUAGAGGUGAAAUUCGUAGAUAUUCGGAAGAACACCAGUGGCGAAGGCGGCUCACUGGACCGGUAUUGACGCUGAGGUGCGAAAGCGUGGGGAGCAAACAGG